RNAcentral lists this ribosomal RNA (254 nucleotides) under uncultured bacterium. Its description in RNAcentral is "partial 16S ribosomal RNA". It matches the Rfam family "Bacterial small subunit ribosomal RNA", at positions 334 to 605 of the family's 1533-position model. The record is from RNAcentral.
UAUUCCUACGGGGCGCAGCAGUGGGGAAUAUUGCACAAUGGGGGAAACCCUGAUGCAGCGACGCCGCGUGAGUGAAGAAGUAAUUCGUUACGUAAAGCUCUAUCAGCAGGGAAGAGAAUGACGGUACCUGAGUAAGAAGCCCCGGCUAACUACGUGCCAGCAGCCGCGGUAAUACGUAGGGGGCAAGCGUUAUCCGGAUUUACUGGGUGUAAAAGGAGCGUAGACGGCAGAGAAAGUCUGAAGAGAAAGCCCGC